RNAcentral lists this ribosomal RNA (346 nucleotides) under Hepatozoon sp. RNAcentral's name for it is "SSU rRNA". It matches the Rfam family "Eukaryotic small subunit ribosomal RNA", at positions 285 to 623 of the family's 1831-position model. Lineage: Eukaryota; Apicomplexa; Hepatozoidae. The record is from RNAcentral.
UGGCGAUAAAUCAUUCAAGUUUCUGACCUAUCAGCUUUCGACGGUAUGGUAUUGGCUUACCGUGGCAGUGACGGUUAACGGGGGAUUAGGGUUCGAUUCCGGAGAGGGAGCCUGAGAAACGGCUACCACAUCUAAGGAAGGCAGCAGGCGCGCAAAUUACCCAAUUCUAAUAGCAAAAGAGAGGUAGUGACAAGAAAUAACAGUACAAGGCAGUUAAAAUGCUUUGUAAUUGGAAUGAUAGAAAUUUAAAUACUUUUUAAAGUAUCAAUUGGAGGGCAAGUCUGGUGCCAGCAGCCGCGGUAAUUCCAGCUAACAAAUAGCGUAUAUUAAAAUUGUUGCAGUUAAA